This 301-nucleotide ribosomal RNA is filed under the name uncultured bacterium. Its description in RNAcentral is "partial 16S ribosomal RNA". It matches the Rfam family "Bacterial small subunit ribosomal RNA", at positions 509 to 807 of the family's 1533-position model. The record is from RNAcentral.
CAGCCGCCGCGGUAAUACGAAGGGGGCUAGCGUUGCUCGGAUUGACUGGGCGUAAAGGGCGCGUAGGCGGUUUGUACAGUCAGACGUGAAAUUCCUGGGCUCAACCUGGGGGCUGCGUUUGAUACGUGCGAGCUUGAGUUCGGAAGAGGGUCGUGGAAUUCCCAGUGUAGAGGUGAAAUUCGUAGAUAUUGGGAAGAACACCGGUGGCGAAGGCGGCGACCUGGUCCGAUACUGACGCUGAGGCGCGAAAGCGUGGGGAGCAAACAGGAUUAGAUACCCCGGUAGUCCCUGUCUCUUAUAC